GAUGAACGCUGGCGGCGUGCUUAACACAUGCAAGUCGAACGGAAAGGCCCAAGCUUGCUUGGGUACUCGAGUGGCGAACGGGUGAGUAACACGUGGGUGAUCUGCCCUGCACUUCGGGAUAAGCCUGGGAAACUGGGUCUAAUACCGGAUAGGACGAUGGUUUGGAUGCCAUUGUGGAAAGUUUUUUCGGUGUGGGAUGAGCUCGCGGCCUAUCAGCUUGUUGGGGGGGUAAUGGGCUACCAAGGCGUCGACGGGUAGCCGGGCUGGGAGGGGGUACGGCCACAUUGGGGCUGGGAUACGGCCCAGACCCCUACGGGGGGGAGGAGUGGGGAAUAUUGCACAAUGGGGGCGAGCCUGAUGCAGCGACGCCGCGGGGGGGAAGACGGCCUUCGGGUUGGAAACUCCUUUCGCUAGGGACGAAGCGUUUUGUGACGGUACCUGGAGAAGAAGCACCGGCUAACUACGUG
This 467-nucleotide ribosomal RNA is filed under the name uncultured bacterium. RNAcentral describes it as "partial 16S ribosomal RNA". It matches the Rfam family "Bacterial small subunit ribosomal RNA", at positions 28 to 507 of the family's 1533-position model. The record is from RNAcentral.